This 253-nucleotide ribosomal RNA is filed under the name uncultured bacterium. Its description in RNAcentral is "partial 16S ribosomal RNA". It matches the Rfam family "Bacterial small subunit ribosomal RNA", at positions 524 to 776 of the family's 1533-position model. The record is from RNAcentral.
UACGUAGGGGGCAAGCGUUGUCCGGAAUCAUUGGGCGUAAAGCGUGUGUAGGCGGGUCGUUAAGUGCCUUGUGAAAUCCCAUGGCUCAACCAUGGAACUGCUGGGCAUACUGGCGAUCUUGUGCCACCUAGGGGCGAGCGGAACAGAUGGUGGAGCGGUGAAAUGCGUAGAUAUCAUCUGGAACGCCAAUGGUGAAAACAGCUCGCUGGGGGUGUGCAGACGCUGAGACACGAAAGCCAGGGGAGCGAACGGG